UGGGUGGUAAUUCCCUCUAAAGUCUGUCCGAGUCAGUGAAAAUUUCAACAGACAACAUCCAAAUGAGGACGUUAAAUCCAAUUUAUUUUUGAAUCACAAAUCACAGAACAUCCCCCUUUAGAACUUUUUCUUUAAUGGCUAUAAGCCGGAGUAAAAGGCUAACCGUGCGAACAAACACUAGAGGCACCACUUGUCAUGAAAAUUGCGAACGUUUAAUAGUCUAAUUUUGAACAACGGGUAGCGCUUAACUUUUAUAAUUUUAGUUCAAUUUCCAUUGUUUCCGAACUGUAUUAUUAGAUUUCGUUGUAUUUUGUGAAUGUUAAAUGAUUUCUUAGUAUAAAGUUGCUUUAUAUUAAUCUAAAUUACAUUACAUACACAUUUAAAAUUAAAAUAUUAUGACAUAUUGAUUUGACAUAUUGCUUAAAUUCAAUAUGUCAUAUACAAUAAGUUGUUAACGUCAGUUGCAGUCUAAAAGGUCAUCUUGAUAACAAAAAGUUUCAAUGCUUUUAGAAGGAUAUUUGUGAAAAAGAAAUGUUCAGUUUGUAUUGUAAAACGUGGCGUAAAAAAAAGUGGCAGUUUUAUUCUAAUAUUUGACAUCACUGCGCGCAUAGCGACCGAUUCUGUUGCAGGUCACUAUUAUUUUAUACUGUAUGAUCGAAAAAAACCGGUGUCCAGCAGGCUUGGAAAUAACCAAGGAAAUAACCACAUAACGUAGACCCAAGGAUCGCCAGGCCAAGGUCUUUAGGAAAGUUGCCACAGAAGUCACCAGACCAAGUAGAAUUAGCACUCUCCAAUUCCAAAGGCACUUAAUUCUCUGAACAAGUUUCAUGAUGCUGACAUUUUUAAAGACUCUUACUGGGCAUUUAGGAGGAAGAUUAGAAAUGGGAGUGGUGAUUGAUGGGUGUGUUAAUUCUUCUUUUUACUGUACCGUUCUUCUCUUAUAAGUGUUUAUUGUUUUUUUUUUGUAUUAUUUUUUAAUGUUUUUAAGUAUCCUUAUACGAUGUGAAAGAAAAAGAAAAGACAUUUUUUUUCUUUUUUUUUAAUAUUGUUUUGUAAAUUUUGUAAUGUAAUGGGGUUUCCUGUAAAUAAAUAAAUAAAUAAAUAUAGAGAUAAAAAAAUUAUAUUAACAUUACAAAAUAGGUACUUAAAUUGAAUUUACGCUGUCUUGACUUGACGGUAAUUAUUUUGAUUUAUUAUCGAUUUAUACUGAUCAGACUUAAGAUUUAAAUUGUUUAAACUUUAUGUUGAAUUGGACUAAGAUUUAAAUCGUUUUGAUUUUUGAAAUGACUUAAGACUUAAGAUUUAAGUGCUGCUGCUGCCCCUUGGGGACUUGUUGCAGGUCUGGGUGUAUAAAAGAAGCACAAAAAUAUUUGUCUGUAUUUAGUUUGUUUCUGAACUUAGAUUUUGUUCUUUGUUUAUUUUUUGGGAGGUGAAAUGCGGGUUCAACUUUAGUAGAUGAACGAGACAAAAUAUUUUCUAAAAAUAUCAUCUUUGGAAAUGCCAUAAGGAAUAAUAAGAAUUUUUGCGAAUGUUUCCGUAAUUCUGCGACCAGACAGAACGAUGACCUAUAAUUUCUAAACAAAAUUUUAGGUUAUAGGUACGGUUUACGACGCGAUAGUCGCUUAAUUUUUAGUCCAAAUGUGUCAGAUUUUUAAAAGUGCUUCUAUUGUAAAGGCUAAAGACGCAGUUGAACAUAUUGUUAGACUUUUGUUUAAAUCGGUAGAUCUGUAGCUUACAGACGAAAUCAGUAGACCUGGCAACUCUGUGAUGGAUUGACGCGCUAGAGCGACGCGGAGGCGCGGAAAGAUAAAUAAUAUUAAUGGUGAUAAAGGGCAGAUGAAUGGAAGGCGGCGCUGAGGCGGUGCUAUUUCCAAAAUUUGUCUUAUUGGAGUUUGUCUAACUCGACAGUCAUAGUGGAAGAGGAAACGGGGAAGUUGUGGUCCCUCUCUGUGUAAGCUACUAACUUUUUAUAGGCGUUUCAUUCCAAUGCAUGUAAUUAAUUGCUAUGCCUAGAUCUUACAAUACCGGACCUGUAGAAGUAUCUCUUCAAGCCUCAAGCAGCUAUGUUAAGAAAAAUAUGUGCCACGGGACUGUUUGGAAAUAUGGUAACAAUUUGGUCUCGGGUGUUAUUUUAAGUCCUUGUAUUCUUUAGUCAUUAGUUGUAAGUAUGGGGUUCUGGUUGCUUAAAAUGUAAACUUUGGUUAAGUGGAAGAAUGGCCAUGCUUAAACUUCGCCCCGCCACAUCCUCUUAUGUAGAUAUAUUGUAUUAAUGUAUAUUUUAUUUAUAUAUCAAUGUAUGCACUUUACAGUACAGACGUUUAUAAUUAUUAAU
Long non-coding RNA from Sitophilus oryzae (rice weevil), 2332 nucleotides. RefSeq lists it as uncharacterized. The transcript has 3 exons. The record is from RefSeq and is a predicted model, not a curated record. Lineage: Eukaryota; Metazoa; Arthropoda; Insecta; Coleoptera; Curculionidae.